Molecule: non-coding RNA, 59 nt
Filed under: Methylocaldum szegediense
Lineage: Bacteria; Pseudomonadati; Pseudomonadota; Gammaproteobacteria; Methylococcales; Methylococcaceae
Description: SECIS_3
Rfam family: Selenocysteine insertion sequence 3
Source: RNAcentral
GUCUGACACGCACCGACGGUGGCAAGUCUUGCUCCGACAUUCGGUCGCGGCGCCAUGAC